UACGGAGGGUGCAAGCGUUGUCCGGAUUUAUUGGGUUUAAAGGGUGCGUAGGCGGCCCGGUAAGUCAGUGGUGAAAGCCUCCAGCUCAACUGGAGAACUGCCAUUGAUACUGUCGGGCUUGAGUACAGACGAGGUAGGCGGAAUUGAUUGUGUAGCGGUGAAAUGCAUAGAUACAAUCAAGAACUCCGAUUGCGUAGGCAGCUUACUAGGCUGUAACUGACGCUGAGGCACGAAAGCGUGGGGAGCGAACAGG
RNAcentral lists this ribosomal RNA (253 nucleotides) under uncultured bacterium. Its description in RNAcentral is "partial 16S ribosomal RNA". It matches the Rfam family "Bacterial small subunit ribosomal RNA", at positions 524 to 776 of the family's 1533-position model. The record is from RNAcentral.